Molecule: ribosomal RNA, 253 nt
Filed under: uncultured bacterium
Lineage: Bacteria
Description: partial 16S ribosomal RNA
Rfam family: Bacterial small subunit ribosomal RNA
Source: RNAcentral
UACAGAGGUCUCAAGCGUUGUUCGGAUUCAUUGGGCGUAAAGAGCUCGUAGGCGGUUUGUCGCGUCGAAUGUGAAAACCCGGGGCUCAACUCCGGGCCUGCAUUCGAUACGGGCAGACUAGAGUUCGGUAGGGGAGACUGGAAUUCCUGGUGUAGCGGUGAAAUGCGCAGAUAUCAGGAGGAACACCGGUGGCGAAGGCGGGUCUCUGGGCCGAUACUGACGCUGAGGAGCGAAAGCGUGGGGAGCGAACAGG